This 497-nucleotide ribosomal RNA is filed under the name uncultured bacterium. RNAcentral describes it as "bacterial SSU rRNA". It matches the Rfam family "Bacterial small subunit ribosomal RNA", at positions 899 to 1397 of the family's 1533-position model. The record is from RNAcentral.
ACUCAAAGGAAUAGACGGGGGCCCGCACAAGCGGCGGAGCAUGCGGAUUAAUUCGAUGCAACGCGAAGAACCUUACCAAGGCUUGACAUACGCAGAAAACCGGCAGAGAUGUCGGGUCCGUAAGGGCUGUGUACAGGUGGUGCAUGGUUGUCGUCAGCUCGUGUCGUGAGAUGUUGGGUUAAGUCCCGCAACGAGCGCAACCCUCGUUCCAUGUUGCCAGCACGUAAUGGUGGGGACUCAUGGGAGACUGCCGGGGUCAACUCGGAGGAAGGUGGGGAUGACGUCAAAUCAUCAUGCCCCUUAUGUCUUGGGCUUCACGCAUGCUACAAUGGCCAGUACAAAGGGCUGCGAGACCGUAAGGUGGAGCGAAUCCCAAAAAGCUGGUCUCAGUUCGGAUCGGGGUCUGCAACUCGACCCCGUGAAGUCGGAGUCGCUAGUAAUCGCAGAUCAGCAACGCUGCGGUGAAUACGUUCCCGGGCCUUGUACACACCGCCCGU